UGCAGUCGAACGCGUCUCCGUUAAUGAUUUUAGGUGCUUGCACUUGAAAGAUUUAACAUUGAGACGAGUGGCGAACUGGUGAGUAACACGUGGGUAACCUGCCCUUGAAGUAGGGGAUAACACUUGGAAACAGGUGCUAAUACCGUAUAACAACCAAAACCACCUGGUUUUGGUUUAAAAGACGGCUUCGGCUGUCACUUUAGGAUGGACCCGCGGCGUAUUAGCUUGUUGGUAAGGUAACGGCCUACCAAGGCGAUGAUACGUAGCCGACCUGAGAGGGUAAUCGGCCACAUUGGGACUGAGACACGGCCCAAACUCCUACGGGAGGCAGCAGUAGGGAAUCUUCCACAAUGGACGAAAGUCUGAUGGAGCAACGCCGCGUGAGUGAUGAAGGGUUUCGGCUCGUAAAACUCUGUUGUUGGAGAAGAACAGGUGUCAGAGUAACUGUUGACAUCUUGACGGUAUCCAACCAGAAAGCCACGGCUAACUACGUGCCAGCAGCCGCGGUAAUACGUAGGUGGCAAGCGUUGUCCGGAUUUAUUGGGCGUAAAGCGAGCGCAGGCGGUUUUUUAGGUCUGAUGUGAAAGCCUUCGGCUUAACCGGAGAAGUGCAUCGGAAACCGGGAGACUUGAGUGCAGAAGAGGACAGUGGAACUCCAUGUGUAGCGGUGAAAUGCGUAGAUAUAUGGAAGAACACCAGUGGCGAAGGCGGCUGUCUGGUCUGUAACUGACGCUGAGGCUCGAAAGCAUGGGUAGCGAACAGGAUUAGAUACCCUGGUAGUCCAUGCCGUANACGAUGAGUGCUAAGUGUUGGAGGGUUUCCGCCCUUCAGUGCUGCAGCUAACGCAUUAAGCACUCCGCCUGGGGAGUACGACCGCAAGGUUGAAAC
This 888-nucleotide ribosomal RNA is filed under the name uncultured bacterium. RNAcentral's name for it is "bacterial SSU rRNA". It matches the Rfam family "Bacterial small subunit ribosomal RNA", at positions 56 to 900 of the family's 1533-position model. The record is from RNAcentral.